RNAcentral lists this long non-coding RNA (600 nucleotides) under Solanum tuberosum (potato). Its description in RNAcentral is "long non-coding RNA (STUB_LNC011629)". Lineage: Eukaryota; Viridiplantae; Streptophyta; Magnoliopsida; Solanales; Solanaceae. The record is from RNAcentral.
GCAUGUGCAUGAUGGGGUAAAAUAGAAUAGAGAAUUAAACAUGAAACAAAAUGGCUUCUAACAUGUUUACAAAACAACAUUACAUAUCUUAAACGUAAAAAUCAAUUUAUGAACAAGCAUAUAAUAUUUUCAUAUUUGACCUUUUGUGGAGCAGUAAACUAAGACGUCUUUGAGCCUCGGAUCUACACUCCUUUUGCAAAUGAAAACGAGUUUCGCUCGAGUGAAUUAAAAUGCAAAGUCUAUGUUGUGGCUAGUGCCAACAGAGAAGAACAAAGCUAAGAUAAACAUAAAGGUAUUAUCAAGCUUUUGGGUGAAGAAGGCUGCUAAAAUAUUCUUCAAAUGUAUUCCAAAUGCUAAUAAUUAUAGGAGUAGAAAAUUAGGGUUCUUAGUUUGGGUGGGAUUUUGAAUUUCAAAUUUGAAAUUUGUCAAAGAAAUUGAACUUUGGGGUAGGUUUUGGAGAGACUUGUAAGCUUCACAUGAUUGAGAAGAAAGUAGCAUGCAAAUGGAGUAACUUACCUCUGUCCAUGGUUGACAAGCCUUGCUGUUUUUCUGAAAAUGGAAGGGAAGAAAAUAAGAGAGUUGAGGGAGAAAGUGCGGCUG